Long non-coding RNA from Cyprinus carpio carpio, 974 nucleotides. The record is from Ensembl. NCBI's taxonomy places the organism in Eukaryota, Metazoa, Chordata, Actinopteri, Cypriniformes, Cyprinidae.
UUUACAUCAGGGGUUCAACUCUGGCUCUUGAGGUCCACUUUCCUGCAGAGUUUAGCUCCAACCCUGAUCAAACUCACCUUUCUGUUUCUCUGUUACUGUGUGAUAUUGCUUGAGGUGCAGAGUUGAGAAUCGCUCUUUUGCAUGCAAUCUGUUCACAUCAUAUACUGCAUGGCACAAACUGAUUGGCCUCUCCUGAUUCUGCAACCAAUGAGAUUGCUUACUCAGUAUUUAAAUAGUCUGGUUCAGUGUGCAUUAUAAUGUGAUCCUGAAGUUCGCUAUCAUAUUUCCUCUGCAAACUGUCCUCCUCCCCCAGCUUCACCUGUCUAUUCUACAAUCAUUUCUACAAUCAUUUCAACACUGUGCAUGGCAGUAUUUUCUAGAUUGAAGACAUCUUAAUCUAUCCUACAAAAACACUAUAAAGGGACAAAGUGAUGUCAUAGUGAUGUCACAUCAUGCGCUUCCCCAUUAAAACUUUCACAGUUUCCUUCUGCAUUUAUGUCAUAUAGUCUAGUGAAGCCAAAGAACUAACAUGAUUAUACUAAUAAUCAUCAAACUGAUAAUUCUGCAGCAUUUUUCAGAAUCCAGUGAUGUUACACAGACACCAGUAUUAUGGGUUCCACAGGGUGAAUCUGCACAAAUGAACUGCAGUCAUACUAUGGGUGCAGACUAUAACUAUAUGUAUUGGUUUCGACAGCAGCAGGGAGAAACAAUGAGACUCAUUGUCUUCAUGGUGGCAGGCGGCAAGCCAGAUUUUGGUGAAUUUUCUGAUGAUAAAUACUCAGCUGAAAAGACUGUAGCUGAUAAAGGGUCUUUCACAGUGAAGAAGCUGCAGCCCGAUGACAGUGGUGUGUAUUUCUGUGCAGUGAGUAAACACAGUGACACAGACCUACUGUGCUGCUGUACAAAAACCUAAAAUGUUCAUGCUCCCUAAACACAGAACAGGUGCUAUCACAGGUGUUAAUAAUGACAAUGAA